Molecule: transfer RNA, 74 nt
Filed under: Planctomycetota bacterium
Lineage: Bacteria; Pseudomonadati; Planctomycetota
Description: Planctomycetes bacterium (activated sludge metagenome) tRNA-Thr
Rfam family: tRNA
About the family: Transfer RNA (tRNA) molecules are approximately 80 nucleotides in length. Their secondary structure includes four short double-helical elements and three loops (D, anti-codon, and T loops).
Source: RNAcentral
GCCCUCAUAGUUAAGUGGUAUAACAGUUGAUUCGUAAUCAUCAAUCCCAUGUUCGAUUCAUGGUGAGGGCACCA